RNAcentral lists this ribosomal RNA (492 nucleotides) under uncultured bacterium. RNAcentral's name for it is "partial 16S ribosomal RNA". It matches the Rfam family "Bacterial small subunit ribosomal RNA", at positions 28 to 507 of the family's 1533-position model. The record is from RNAcentral.
GAUGAACGCUAGCUACAGGCUUAACACAUGCAAGUCGAGGGGAAACGGCAUCGAAAGCUUGCUUUUGAUGGGCGUCGACCGGCGCACGGGUGAGUAACGCGUAUCCAACCUGCCCAUCACUUGGGAAUAACCUUGCGAAAGUAAGACUAAUGCCCAAUGACAUCCCACGAAGGCAUCCGAAUGGGAUUAAAGAUUUAUCGGUGAUGGAUGGGGAUGCGUCUGAUUAGCUUGUUGGCGGGGUGACGGCCCACCAAGGCAACGAACAGUAGGGGUUCUGAGAGGAAGGUCCCCCACAUUGGAACUGAGACACGGUCCAAACUCCUACGGGAGGCAGCAGUGAGGAAUAUUGGUCAAUGGGCGAGAGCCUGAACCAGCCAAGUAGCGUGCAGGAUGACGGCCCUAUGGGUUGUAAACUGCUUUUAUAAGGGAAUAAAGUGGGUCACGUGUGACUUUUUGCAUGUACCUUAUGAAUAAGGACCGGCUAAUUCCGUG